GGUUUCGUAGUGUAGUGGUUAGCACUCCAGACUUUGAAUCUGGCGACCUGGGUUCGAAUCCCGGGGAGACCU
This 72-nucleotide transfer RNA is filed under the name Triticum urartu. It matches the Rfam family "tRNA". Rfam says of the family: Transfer RNA (tRNA) molecules are approximately 80 nucleotides in length. Their secondary structure includes four short double-helical elements and three loops (D, anti-codon, and T loops). The record is from Rfam by way of RNAcentral. Lineage: Eukaryota; Viridiplantae; Streptophyta; Magnoliopsida; Poales; Poaceae.